GGGGAUGCCGGGGGGCCUUAUACCUGCCAAGUCGAGCGGACAGAAGGGAGCUUGCUCCCGGAUGUUAGCGGCGGACGGGUGAGUAACACGUGGGUAACCUGCCUGUAAGACUGGGAUAACUCCGGGAAACCGGAGCUAAUACCGGAUAGUUCCUUGAACCGCAUGGUUCAAGGAUGAAAGACGGUUUCGGCUGUCACUUACAGAUGGACCCGCGGCGCAUUAGCUAGUUGGUGAGGUAACGGCUCACCAAGGCGACGAUGCGUAGCCGACCUGAGAGGGUGAUCGGCCACACUGGGACUGAGACACGGCCCAGACUCCUACGGGAGGCAGCAGUAGGGAAUCUUCCGCAAUGGACGAAAGUCUGACGGAGCAACGCCGCGUGAGUGAUGAAGGUUUUCGGAUCGUAAAGCUCUGUUGUUAGGGAAGAACAAGUGCAAGAGUAACUGCUUGCACCUUGACGGUACCUAACCAGAAAGCCACGGCUAACUACGUGCCAGCAGCCGGCGGUAAAGGGCCCCCCUCCAACUGAGUUGGCGUCGCAACUUCAGCCGCAAGAGCCCACGUUAUCACGCCCGCGUCUCCAAAAGGAAGGAGUGUUUCCCCCGUUCCGUCAACAUGCCCCCAUAUUUAGGCACUCACGUAGAAAAGACACACCCGCGUACGUCCAGCAUGCUCCCACACGGAUGGCGGCCAACCGGGGCUUAUGGA
This 708-nucleotide ribosomal RNA is filed under the name Bacillus pumilus. Its description in RNAcentral is "bacterial SSU rRNA". The stretch from base 8 to 515 matches the Rfam family "Bacterial small subunit ribosomal RNA", at positions 39 to 535 of the family's 1533-position model. The record is from RNAcentral. Lineage: Bacteria; Bacillati; Bacillota; Bacilli; Caryophanales; Bacillaceae.